This 247-nucleotide ribosomal RNA is filed under the name Salmonella enterica. RNAcentral's name for it is "partial 16S ribosomal RNA". It matches the Rfam family "Bacterial small subunit ribosomal RNA", at positions 1297 to 1533 of the family's 1533-position model. The record is from RNAcentral. Lineage: Bacteria; Pseudomonadati; Pseudomonadota; Gammaproteobacteria; Enterobacterales; Enterobacteriaceae.
AUUGGGGUCUGCAACUCGACCCCAUGAAGUCGGAGUCGCUAGUAAUCGCAGAUCAGCAACGCUGCGGUGAAUACGUUCCCGGGCCUUGUACACACCGCCCGUCAAGUCACGAAAGUCGGUAACACCCGAAGCCGGUGGCCCAACUCUUUGAGAGGGAGCCGUCGAAGGUGGGACUGGCGAUUGGGACUAAGUCGUAACAAGGUAGCCGUACCGGAAGGUGCGGCUGGAUCACCUCCUUUCUAAGGAG